Long non-coding RNA from Thalassophryne amazonica, 116 nucleotides. RefSeq lists it as uncharacterized. The transcript is spliced from 3 exons. The record is from RefSeq and is a predicted model, not a curated record. NCBI's taxonomy places the organism in Eukaryota, Metazoa, Chordata, Actinopteri, Batrachoidiformes, Batrachoididae.
UGCCUGUUGUCCUCACCUGGAGCCUCAUCUACAAAGGCUGCGUACACACAAAAACGUGGCGUCCGUCCGUCUCCACGCUAACAUUCACAUGUAUCAAAAGUGAAAUGACUGUAGAA